Erinaceus europaeus (western European hedgehog) is the source of this 1501-nucleotide long non-coding RNA. RefSeq lists it as uncharacterized. The record is from RefSeq and is a predicted model, not a curated record. The transcript has 2 exons. NCBI's taxonomy places the organism in Eukaryota, Metazoa, Chordata, Mammalia, Eulipotyphla, Erinaceidae.
CCCAGAGCCCAGCUCUGAGCAAAUAGGGCGCACCAAGCGGCGCGAGCAGGCGCAGUGGCGCGCGGCUGGGUGGUGGCUCUCGCAGGGAGGGUGACUCAGAGGGCGAGGGCUGCGCGGGGCGGGAGCGGGGAGCUAGGGAGCCCGCAGCUUGGGGCGAGAGCCCAACCUGCCCAGCAACAGCCGCCCCGCACCGCCGCCUGCGGGAGGGGAUGGGACAGACUGGCCGGCAGGUGCGGCCCGGGAAGGCGCGUCCCUGCAGCUCUUUGUUUUGUGCCUGGCCCGGGCUCCAGCCCCUAAGCUGAGUCACUGCUCCACUCCUGGGCUUGUGGCUACAGGAACCCCUACCGGAAGAUUGCGGCUCUUUCCUGAAGCUGGCUUGUCCAAUGAGGUAGUAGGGACGACAGUCAGGGAGAGGUGGCUUCCUCUCUGCCCGUCGCCAAGGUCACCCCUGGCUCUCGCACGGCCAUGAACUGGAGCCGCUGGCCCUGAGGAUGCCACCCCCAAAGGGAUCGUGGUUUUGAAACCUGUAGUGGCGUGGUCCAGGUGUCCCCAUACCUGCCUUAUGAUGGGGUGCACGUAGCUCCCUGGCCUGAAGUCAUACGGAGGACUUGUCAGAAACGCACAUGGCCAGGCCUUGUUCACAGAGGAUGAGAUUCAGCAGAAUCAGGUGCCAUGAUGAUACGUUUUGGGAAGGAGUUAAGUAACCUGACUCAUGAGCCUGACUCAACUCCCAGUUGAAGACUACAAAAGAACACCCACUCACUCAUUUUCUCCUAUUGAUGACUGCAUGAGAAGACCAAAACCCUGCUUUCUCCUAUUAAGGAUUAGGAAAUACUCACAAAAUUCAUCUCUAUUACCUUCUGCAAAAAGACCCCACAUUACAACAUUCUAUUUGAAGACUGACAUCGACCAAUUCAAAAUUUUGAAAUGACAUGUUUAAACUGCUCCCUUGAUUAUUCCUUUACAAUUCUCCUAAACCUUAACCCUGACAGAACAUGUCUUGGGCUUGCCCCUUGGUUGUGAGCCUGGAUCAUGUUCUCUGUCAUCAGAUAAAUGAUUAGUUGUCUUUCUGUUUGUUUGUUUUUUUCCUCAUACUUCUGUGGGUGACUACCAGCUAGUUCCCUUGGAAUCUCAUAUGGCUGGAGUCACAUAGUGACUGGAACUGGAGGUCAUGGAAGAUUCUCCUCAGGUGUGUAUCCAAGAUGGCAGGCAGCUCACUGACAUGGUUGGCAAAUGAUGCUUAUUUAACUUGAUGUUGAUUUAAGUGUCUGUAUGACUUUCAUGUGCAUUAGGCAUCUCUCAAGACAGCAGCUCCUUUCAAACAGGGAUAUUCCAGAGGAUAUACCCUAUGAAACUGAAGGAAAAGAUCUAAGACAACUAUGCCCUAGCUUUAAAAGUCACCUAGUCUCACUUUCAUAUGUUAGACUGGUGAAAACUGUCACAGAUUCUGCUCAGAUUCAACAGAAUAAAGAAAUAGGCUUGGGUUGUUUUGACUGAUUGA